GAGCGAUGCAACAACAAGGUAAGCAAGUAUUACUAGGUGGAGUAAUAUAUCAGCACUCUUUAUUUAAUAAUGCCUUACAAAGCCUUAAUUAUUGGCCCAACAUUUAUUAAAUAGCAAUGACAAUCACCACUUUUUAGUGUUUAGAAUUGUGAGGUAUUCUCUGAGAUAGCCCAGUUCUCUAAACUUUGUGGUGUUAUUAUUGCUUUGGAAAGAAAUUGCCUCCACAAGUGAUAUUACUUUAUUAACUAAUAUGCCAAAAAGCAAUGCUUGGUGAGGCCUGGUGUUAUACAGGGAGGCAAGCUAUUUAUGCCCACAUUAACAAACAAACUGCAAGUAUGUAAUGUAAAUGACUGCUUUAUCUGAGUUAUAAAUCAAACUAUUUUCCAUUUUAAUUGCGUGUAACCACCCAUAAUGCAUUGCAGGUACCCACCAUUUUCAAGGACAUUUCUGAUAAUGCUUUUAUUAGGAUUAGAUAUAAAAUAAAAAAUAUGUGCAUAUAAAAUCUGCCCUUGAUUAUUUAACAAUUUUAUUUCCUAAUUUUUAAGAAACAGUAAAGUUACCAUUUUAUUUGUGAAUCCUGCCUUACCAGAAUAUCAUAACCAGGAUAUAGUACAUGCCAGAAUACAGGAUCUCUAAAGAAAUGUACAAGAAUGCAAAAAAAAUGUAUUUCUCAAAUUUUCCAAAAUAUGUAGCCUACUUUCUGAUUGGCACUGCUGCUUGCUCUUCCAUAUUUUGCCCUCACUCAUGCCUAGACAUGCAGCAACGGAGCAUCUUUACCCGCACAUUUAAUGGAGCGUGUCUUCUCAUGUGAGCAAUUCUCUCUUCUCUAGCCCUCUGUCAUCUGAUGCCCCUAUAUCAUGUGAUGCACUUAUUUUUCUUCUGUUCUCUGAUGCCCCUAUUUUUCCUAUAAUCAUUCACAAAAGGCUUUUAAAAAUCAAAGAAGCAGUUAGUACUCUGUAAUACCUUAAGAGAGACUUAAUAAGCAGCCUUUUAACUAGUACUUAACUUUUCAGAUAAAAAAGCAGGAUAGUUUGAAAUCAUUUUUAGCAUUUGUUUUCCUUCUUCUAGGGUCUUUCCAUGACAAGGUCACACACCGUGGCGAUGCACCAAUGCAGUUGAGAAACUCGCAUCAGGUGAAUCACCCCGCAGCUCCUAUUGACUUUAACACUUCUAGCGCAGAGAGACAAUUGCGCUUCUCAGAGCUACAGUACCAUCAUGGAACCGCCUCUGGUACCAAAAAGAUUACAAAUAAUACCAGGGAAUUCAAAUUUUGCCAUGAUUAAGCGGAUGAAUAUGCCUGAAAUGAUGCCUGGUUAGAGGUAUGGUAAAACAAGCAGAAAUCGGAACUAGCAGCAUGACAGCAUUGUAAGCAAUACACAGAGGAGAGGCGACAUGCUGUCUGCGACUGAAUUAACAGGCUGUCAUCUAAUAUUUCAGGCCAGCUUCUUGUGACUUGGUUGUAACUUCUAACAUUGCAUCCUCAUAUCAGAAGCGUUAGACUUUAUCCUUUUAUAUGGAGAGAGAAUUUGCAUUAGGAAAGGAAAUAAAUAAAUAAUACAUUUUGUAAAUAAUGGAGCCCACAUAUAAAUGAUUCUGCUUUACACAUAAAAGAGCAGGAGCAUGACCCUUAGUGCUCUUUCAGGAAAGCACUUGCACCCCUGCCCUGCUGUCUUGCUGUUCCUACCUUGCAUCUCAGAAUGUAUGACAGAGUUAAAAUUGCAAAAACAAACUAAAUUUAAAGGAAAAGUAAACCCUCAGAAUAUUUUCUUUUUAGAAAGUCUAUGCACAGAUUUUUUUGUGUGUGUUCUAAAGUGAUAUAGUGAUUUUUACAAGGCGCUAUCUCCAAAAAUAUUAAUUAAUAAUUAUAAUUAAGUCAAACAAAGUGCUUGUAGUGCUUGCUUCAAAAGGUAAAAUUAUUUAAAAUAAGUUGUAAUGGUGUUUUCUUCUAUCAGCAAAACCCGGCAACUUACAAGAUUCCUGAUUUCAAAACAGCAUAUCAAUUUCAACUCCAAGGUAUUUCUUUUUUCUGUAAAAACAUUAAAAAGCAGGAACAGAGCCCAUAGUGUAAUUUGCCUUUAUUUUUAAAAGGUUUUAAAACUUAUCGCACUUACAUAAGUCACACUUCUGAGUGCAUAUCAAACAAUCCAAUGUUAUAGUGCAGAUCAUGGAGGUGAACCUUUGCAAUACAAAGAGAUGAGUUCUGCCGGCAUCUCCCUCUGUGAUCCACCUGUACAUCCACUCACUGUAAGGUUGCCACCUUUAGCCCAGGGGGCGGGGCUGUGAUAUGGAGGGGGCAGGCUGUGAUGCAUAGGGUGCGGGGCCCUGGACACAGUGGGGUUGGACUGUGACAUCAGGGACAGGGCUAUGAUGUGGUGAUCGGCGAUUAGCCUAUUGUGUCAAUCUUAGAGGAUCCUGCCCAGUUUUCCUAAUUUGGAAAACUGGGCAGGCAGUUUUGACCCGGGCAGUCCUUCAAAUUACCGGGCGGUCCAGGUCAAAACCGGACAAGUGGCAACCCUAACUUACUGCUAAGGCUGUGCUCUGCACAGUGCUGUCCUGCUGGGAAGGUAAGACACUGCUGCCCCCUUGAAUCUAUAAAAUUAAAGCCAUAGGAAACAUGAAUUCUUUGAAUAAAGGGACAAGUUUACCGCUUUCCAUGGUGGGUCCGAGUGCUCGUGCCCCAGACCUUCAGCAAAUGGGGCACACAAAACGUGAAUACUCAUAAGAGCCUAUGAUUAAGUGACCUUGGAGGACACAAAAUGCAUCAGACUUUUGCCUUUUAUACAUGAUGUAAAAUAAAGAUUUUUUGUACUUCUUAAAAUUUGGGCUCCUGGAUUCUACUGACUUCUGAUUUUAGCGUUCCGGAGUGGUGCCUUCCCGGUAUUCAAGUUUUGCCCCUUGAAUCUAGUUAGCUUUAGAGCACAAUCUUUAGGUCUUUGCUCUCCGAAACAGAGAACGGAGGCCUGUAGCUAUUUGCACAAUUUCCGCUGCAAUGGUCAAAGUGCAUCAAAAUGUGGCCUUUUAUGCAAUUUGUCUACUCCGGGGGGCAUUGUAAUUAAGCCCUGUUGUGUGUUAGCUCAUUCUGAGACGACAAAUGCCCAUGUGUAGUGAUGGGCGAAUUUGCGGUGAAUUCCUGCGUUGUCCAAAAAAAUGGUGAUUCAAGAAUUUUUUACCGUUUCGCAAAUUUCACAGGAAAUUCGCAAUUUUUUUGGCGGAUCGAAACGGGACCAAUUCGCCCAUCACUGCCCAUGUGCUAAAAGCCUUUCAGUUAAACCUUGAACUCUAAAAACUGUAGUUUUAUUUUACAUGGAAUUGGGACUCCAUCAAUAUUUCUUUUACUUGAGCACUGUAGGCCUCACCAUGUAGCUUACCUUUCCUCUGGGUGUUUUGCUUUCAUUUUCCCAAUGAAUGUCUUAGUAUUUAAAUCAGCCUGCACCUCUACCACUUAGGUUACUACUUUUUCCAUUUUGAUUAAUGUUUGUGUGCAGUCCUCCUUUCCAUUUGGUGCAAAUCCAUGUGAAACUUGUUUGAUGACAUUAAAAGACUUUAUGAGGUGGUGCUUGUGUUUAUCAUAAAUUAUUGCACCCCAUGCAAAAACUUGUUAGAUUUCUUGCCAUACUUUCAUUGACAGACCUACAAAUCGGAAUGGUGCAUUGCCAUCAACAACGACUUCUUACAUUCUGCAUGUGUAUUAGCCUUAAAUCAUUCCCUGCAACUAAGCACUGAGGAAAUAUUCAACAAAUUAGAAAUGCUUAGGUUAUGAUGAAGUUAGGUUAGGUCAG
This is a long non-coding RNA of Xenopus laevis (African clawed frog), 3779 nucleotides long. RefSeq lists it as uncharacterized. The record is from RefSeq and is a predicted model, not a curated record. Lineage: Eukaryota; Metazoa; Chordata; Amphibia; Anura; Pipidae. The transcript is spliced from 2 exons.